Molecule: long non-coding RNA, 4178 nt
Organism: Meriones unguiculatus (Mongolian gerbil)
Lineage: Eukaryota; Metazoa; Chordata; Mammalia; Rodentia; Muridae
Exons: 4
Source: RefSeq, a predicted model, not a curated record
GGCGGGGCCAGCGACUAGGAACAAACCCUCUUCUUUCUUAACUUUUCGAAUGACAGCAAGUUCUGGUUGAAGAACUGAAAGUGGAUCCAUGGAUUUAGGAAUUGUCAUUUCUGAACCAAGACUGCUCCUAACACACCACACAAGUGUUCCAGAGCUGAGGAGUUUCCUGGAAUACAGGACUGUGAGACUGAACACCAGGAAAUCCUGAGAGAAUGAGGGCAAGCCAGCCAUCCUAACUUCCAAUCCUUCAGCAAGCUCAGGAUGCCCAGAGAAAGUGGCCUGGAGUUUCCUUGGAGGCUUUUUUGGUCCCAUUUGUGAGACUGAUGUUGCCCUUAACGAUGGGGAAACCAGGAAAAUGGCAGAAAUGAAAACUGAAGAUGGCAAAGUAGAAAAACACUAUCUCUUUUACGAUGGAGAAUCUGUUUCAGGAAAGAGUCCUACAGCCCUCACCAUUCACUUGAGAACAUUAUUCCUUUGAACAGAAACAGGAUCCACUACCUGCAAAGCCCUCAUCUACAGAUCCACUUUGUUUUCUAUUUGGACACUGCAUAUAAGUGGAAUCACACUGUGGCCUUUGAAUGUGGUUCCUUUCACUGAACUGUCUUUUCAAGGCUCUGGUAGCAAGUACCCGACCUCAUUCUCUUCAACUGUAUUUUAAAUUUAAAGAUAUUUUAGCUCCAUUCAAGAAAGAUCUCUUCUUGUCCUUGUUUAUAAAAGGCGUUUGUUUUGCUUUCCAGAUAUAUUAUUCCUGGGUAUUCUGAAGUCCUCCAUGGUCUUCAGAUUAGUAGUAACUCAUUGUAAGGUUAUUAAUAAUGAUUAUUAUGUUUGUUAUUCUGACUUAUAACAGAAAAAAUUUGCCUACUUAAUUUUUUGUAAUUGAUGUAUUAUUGAAAAUAUAGGUAGCAAAGAUUUAAAGGCAUUUUCCAUGUUAAAUUUUUUUUUAAACAUUUCUGUGGGGUUGGGGGAGAGUGCAUGCCAGAGCACAUGAAUAGAGGUCAUAGGACAGCUCGUGAAAGUUGGUUCUUUCCUUCCAUCAUGUUAGGUUCUAGGGAUCAAACUCAGGUCAGCGAUUUUGGUGACAAGCGCCCUUAAUGAAUUGCCAACCUUAAUUUGUCAUUUUAGCCAUACAACCUAAUGGUAAUUCUUAUGUAUUUUAAUCUUAAUCACACUAUAUUUUCAAAGUUUUUAUCUCACUCUGAACAGAAACUUUAUAUUCUAUUAGUGGUCACUGCUCUCUCCUUGGUGACCUCUAAUCUGCUUCCUGUCGCUUUAUCUGCUCUAGCUAUUUUGUAUAAGUAGUUGCACAAUAUUUGUCCUUUGAUGACUGCAUUAUUGAGCAUGCUGCUAGGAGCCCUCCAUGUAACAGCAUGUCUGAGUAUGAACUGUUAUCUCAUGGUUUUUAAUUUCUUCCUUCCUUCCUUUCUUUCUUUCUUUUUUAAAGACAGGGACUCUAUAGCCAAGGCUAACCUUGAAUUGCUGAUCUUGGCUCCACAUCCUAAGUGUUGUGUUAAUGGGUAUGCACUACCAUGCCAGCUUUACAAUUUUUUGUUUGUUUGUUUUUUGAGACACAGUUUCUCUGUGUAGCCUUGACUGUCCUGAACUCACUUUGUACACCAGACUGGCUUUGAACUCAGAGAUCCGCCUGCCUCUGCCUCCCUGAGUGCUGGGAUUACAGGUGUGCACCACCAUACCCAACUUAAAAUUUUAAAUUUUGAUGAAUUCCAAUUUAUCUAUUAUCUAUUUUUAAAUUUUAUUUUAUUACUUGUGCUUUUGAGAAAUCACAGCCUAAGUGAAGGUCAUGAAGCUAUAUUUGUGUCUUGUGCUAAGAAUUUUUGUGUUGUACUCACUGAGGUUAUUUUUUAUUUUGAAUAAAUCUCUGUUGGGUGUGAGGUAGUCUUUCAGUCUUGUUCUUUUGAAGGUUAACUUCGAUUUGCCCCAGCACCAUUUACCCAAAAGAGAAUUACUUCUCUAUUGCAUUGUCUUGGUGCCCUUGUGCAAAUACCUUUAAAAAUUAAAACUCUCUAUCAAAAAUUUUUCGAGUGUUUUGAAUUGAUGCUAAAAUCGUUGUUUGUCUACUGCUUGAUUUCUUUUAUGUUCUGUUCUGUACCUUGUAUUCCAAAUUUAUAAAGAAAGGCAGUAAGUAAAACUCACUUUGAACCAAGAAGAUCAUUCUCUGUUAUUUUUGAAGUUUUCAGAUAGCAGCCUUAGAAAAGAAUGGCUUUUCCCUUUACAUUAGUUUUACAUGUAAAAACUAUGACUAUUAUUAUUAUUUAUUAAUUUUUAACAGGGUCUCUGUGUAGCCCUGCCUGCCCUGAAACUUGCUAUGUAGACCAGGCUAGUCUUGAACUCAGAGAUUCGCCUGCCUUUGCUUCACAAAUGUUCUUAAGAGUGUAACUACUAUCCCCAGCUUAAAAACAAUUUCUGUCAAAGCAAUUAGGUACUGCUGUCAACAUUGUUGGUUCUAUAAAAAUGAGACCGUCUUAGAUUUCAUCAAGAUAAAGCAAUUACAAUUAAUAUCAUUGGCAAUUGUUUCAAAGUGACAUUAUGAAUUUUUAUCGUUUCUAGCUUGCUUAUAUAGGGCAUUUUUACUAUUUUGUCUUUGGACAAGGACUUGAUGCUUGAUAAUAGUAAAAUACCUUGACCAAGUCACUCUGGGCUGCCCACACUGAAUGGUGCGUUUUUCCUUUUGCAAGCAGUGAACAAAGGUGUCUGUUUAGUCUGAGACUACAGUUUAUAGCUGAGCCACUUAGGUGAAAGAUGUUUGUGUAGUGCUGUUCAGCAAUGUGGAUAUGGACUAGGUUCUUGGAAGACCUGAGUUCAUGCCCCACAACCCCAGGGUAGAAGGAGAGACCCAAAUCCCAGAAGUUGUCCUUCAGCUUCACAUGUAUGCUGUGGGACAUGAGACACACACAGGCACGCUAAGUGUACAGAUAAACACAAGUAACAUGGCAAUAUGAAGGAUGACUUGGAAGUGGAUUUCACAACAAAUGCUGAUUCCCAGGAAGUAGAUUCAAUGCUCUAAGACCAUGACAAGGGCUUGACCUUGGUUGGAGGAAGGGGAUCCACAGAUUUGACAGCUAGGACUUUGUGCUGGGUUAGAUUUUGGUGGCUUUGAACAGGAAUGCAGGGGGAAGGAAAGGAGUCAGUCAAGAAAGGGGCAGUACAGAGGAACAGAGAUUGUUUUUUAGCUCAAAAUUGAAGCUGCAGUUGGUAUUUUCAUGGUAAAACCUAAGACACAACAGAGAACUGUUGUAUCCUGCAUUUUCCCCGAGGAGAACAUCCUGUGGAGAAAAGCACCCGAAAAACUGAGGAAACAGAGGACAAAUUUUCACCAGCGAUUUGAAUCUCCGGAAUCACAGGCGUCUGCAGAACAGCCUGAGAUGUAAGCCAAAUAGGACAGAGAGCAAGAACAGAAGCUGUAGCCAAGAGGUGAAGCUCAGCAGGUUAAAGAUGGUCACAGCGUGGGGAAAGUCCGACUCCAUGUCUGCCAGUCUUCCUUAUCCUGAAGUGCUGCGUUUAUUUUACAGGAUGAGUAAAGGUUCUCUGUGUACAUACAUUUUAAAAAGUGCUUUCUUGGAAACACUGGAGAAUUCUUAAGCUGCCUUUUUUGUUUUCUUUUUUACUGCACACUGAUAAGCACUCAGAUGCGUCAGCAUAAACAUUAAAGAUCUCCAUGUGUGUAGGCUGGUAUUUGUAAUUUUGCUUUCCUUGUGCAUAAUGUUGAAAAUCUUUCUUUUUCAUGCUAAUGAUUACCUCUUAUUCACUAUGUGCAAAAAAUAAAUAUUUUGUUCAAAUAAAAUGAGAAAACCUGAGCCGCCCUUAUGUCCUGCAAAGUUUUAAGGCGCGGCUCCUCAGUAUCUUUGAGAAUUGUGUUUGUUUUUACAUGUGUAUCAGAACCAACCUGAUGUUGCAUGGUGGGUGCUUCUGGAUCAUUUCAUGGCCUCCUGAAUUGUAAUCUUUGGGGUCUCUGAGGUAUGUUAAAUUUUCACCCAAGGAAUUACAUGGCAUGUCAUUGUGGCCCUCUUCCCCCGUUAACCUUUUUUCAAUUACUUUCUGUAUCACCAUGUAGGUUCUGCAGUGUCGCGCUGACAUGUUGGCAUUUUAGAGCUUGUAAAACCCAUAUCACUUCUCCGUAAAUACUCUGAAACAUGUAUAUAAAGUUUAAUUUAAGGACUCUU